Perognathus longimembris pacificus (Pacific pocket mouse) is the source of this 125-nucleotide small nucleolar RNA. RefSeq annotates it as small nucleolar RNA SNORA40. The record is from RefSeq and is a predicted model, not a curated record. The transcript has a single exon. NCBI's taxonomy places the organism in Eukaryota, Metazoa, Chordata, Mammalia, Rodentia, Heteromyidae.
UUCUUACAUUUGUAUCUUUAAUUUGUAACAAAGAUUUACAGACAUAUCAAAAAUAAAUAAAUCCCAUUUUUCAAUCCAGAAGUCAUUGCUCAGUAUGAGUUUUGAAACGUGUAGGAAGGAAUAUG